CUUGCCGGUUGCUUUUCAACUACAAACACAGAUGAAUCAGUUGAUACUAAAGUUGUAACUCGUAAUCGUGUUUGUAAUCUUGGAUGUUCCAUCGGCCAUUGCUCCAAGUUUCUCGUUCAAUAUGAUAAUGAGAAGUUUGGAAGUUGCAUGACAAACUGCAGUGAGAACUAUUGCAUUGGCAAUGCUCUAGAGAAAGCUGCAGCUUAAGAACAACUAAUAAUAUUAAAAAGUAGAAUUAUGGCCACUAAGUAUGUGUCUAUGACACUAUGUUAUGUACUAAAUGAAAGCUACUAAAUGCUUUUGUGGUUGUAAUUUUCUAUGUUAUGUGUGUAAUUGUGUUGUAUUAAAUAAAACUCUAGUGCUUCCUACUAAAGCACUAAAGAAGUUAUUUCCAAUAA
Capsicum annuum is the source of this 398-nucleotide long non-coding RNA. RefSeq lists it as uncharacterized. The transcript is spliced from 2 exons. Lineage: Eukaryota; Viridiplantae; Streptophyta; Magnoliopsida; Solanales; Solanaceae. The record is from RefSeq and is a predicted model, not a curated record.